Oryza brachyantha (malo sina) is the source of this 957-nucleotide long non-coding RNA. RefSeq lists it as uncharacterized. The record is from RefSeq and is a predicted model, not a curated record. The transcript has 3 exons. Lineage: Eukaryota; Viridiplantae; Streptophyta; Magnoliopsida; Poales; Poaceae.
GCUUACGGAAAGGGAACUGUGCCUACAUUUGAGGUCAGGUGUGGGUGGACACCUAAAGCGCCAAGUUUGAGUUCUCUUUGUGGUUGAUUUGGAUGCCUUUCUCCUUAAUGAAAGGAGUUUAUUUGUUCUUUGACAUAUGUGCCACUCGGCCCACUCCAAUUGUGUGAUCGAACACCAUUUUCAAAAGAUUCUUCCCAAGUUGCUUCCUUUUCUUUUAAUAUGAAGAGCCCUGUGUAUGGCGAUUUGUAUGUACUUGAGGCAAAAGAGGAGGUGAAGGCAUGUUAGAUAAGGUCUAUAUUGAUUUUUGACUAGUGGACCAUAGAAUCUUAUUUUUUGUACUUUAUAGUUUUAUGUAGACUAUAUUUUUUGGAUAGUGCAUGCUACCUUAACUAGUGUAUUCUGCAUGUUUCUACUGUGCAUGUUUUGGCAUAAUAAGCCUGAGGCUACUUGCACAGGUUUCAGCAAGAACUUCCAUAUUUGAUUAGAGAAGUACUGCCCGCGCUUCAAAUCGAAGGUUAUGGCUUCACAAUCUUGAUUUUUUGACUGAGGAAUAAAGCAGUUUCGUCCUUCACGUGGGCGUAUCCCAUUAAUCCAUCCACUUCAACAGAGAAUGAACUUCCCAAAUGAUAGACGUCACAUGGGUUGCCAAAAACAACAAAUGGACGUUUGACAGAGCUCCCAUCAUGGAAUGACAUGAAAGAGACAUGAAGGCGGAAAGUUUCUCUAGGGGUGGAAAAGAAAUAUUCCUACAAGAGUGGCAGGCUUAUUGGCUUAUUGCACUGGCUACAGUAAAUGCUUGAUUACCACCAUUUCUCGGCUCCUCGCUGAUGAAAAUGGAAUCAUGCUGCCUUUUGCUUCUAUGCCCUCCCACGAAGGAAAGCUGGCAGAAUCUUGACAUAUCACUAUCUACAAGUAUCAGUCUACACUCCUGUUGAUUGUUGAGGUGAGAAUUCUGGC